Molecule: long non-coding RNA, 308 nt
Organism: Pygocentrus nattereri (red-bellied piranha)
Lineage: Eukaryota; Metazoa; Chordata; Actinopteri; Characiformes; Serrasalmidae
Exons: 3
Source: RefSeq, a predicted model, not a curated record
UCACACCUGAAGGAACUGGAUCUGACCUACAAUCACCCAGGAGAGUCAGGAGUGAAGCUGCUCUCUGCUAGACGAGAGGAUCCACUAUGCUUACUGAGCAAACUCGGAUUGGAACAUAGAGGUGAAAACAGAAUCAGAGCAGGACUGAAGAAAUAUUCCUGUGACUUCACUCUGGAUCCAAACACAGUGAACAGAUUUCUCACUCUGUCUGACGGGAACAGGAAGGUGGAGCGUGUGUGGGAUGAUCACUCGUAUCCUGAUCAUCCAGAGAGAUUUGAUGAGUGGUGUCAGGUUCUGUGUAGAGAGAG